RNAcentral lists this ribosomal RNA (345 nucleotides) under uncultured Clostridium sp. RNAcentral describes it as "bacterial SSU rRNA". It matches the Rfam family "Bacterial small subunit ribosomal RNA", at positions 1037 to 1388 of the family's 1533-position model. Lineage: Bacteria; Bacillati; Bacillota; Clostridia; Eubacteriales; Clostridiaceae. The record is from RNAcentral.
GGUGGUGCAUGGUUGUCGUCAGCUCGUGUCGUGAGAUGUUGGGUUAAGUCCCGCAACGAGCGCAACCCUUAUUGUUAGUUGUACCAUUUAGUUGAGCACUCUAGCGAGACUGCCCGGGUAACCGGGAGGAAGGUGGGGAUGACGUAAAUCAUCAUGCCCCUUAUGUCUAGGGCUACACACGUGCACAAUGGUCGGUACAAUGAGAUGCAACCUCGCGAGAGUGAGCAAAACUAUAAAACCGAUCUCAGUUCGGAUUGUAGGCUGAAACUCGCCUACAUGAAGCUGGAGUUGCUAGUAAUCGCGAAUCAGAAUGUCGCGGUGAAUACGUUCCCGGGCCUUGUACAC